Molecule: ribosomal RNA, 496 nt
Filed under: uncultured bacterium
Lineage: Bacteria
Description: partial 16S ribosomal RNA
Rfam family: Bacterial small subunit ribosomal RNA
Source: RNAcentral
AUGAACGCUGGCGGCGUGCCUAAUACAUGCAAGUCGAGCGAACAGACGAGGAGCUUGCUCCUCUGACGUUAGCGGCGGACGGGUGAGUAACACGUGGAUAACCUACCUAUAAGACUGGGAUAACUUCGGGAAACCGGAGCUAAUACCGGAUAAUAUAUUGAACCGCAUGGUUCAAUAGUGAAAGACGGUUUUGCUGUUACUUAUAGAUGGAUCCGCGCCGCAUUAGCUAGUUGGUAAGGUAACGGCUUACCAAGGCGACGAUGCGUAGCCGACCUGAGAGGGUGAUCGGCCACACUGGAACUGAGACACGGUCCAGACUCCUACGGGAGGCAGCAGUAGGGAAUCUUCCGCAAUGGGCGAAAGCCUGACGGAGCAACGCCGCGUGAGUGAUGAAGGUCUUCGGAUCGUAAAACUCUGUUAUUAGGGAAGAACAAAUGUGUAAGUAACUAUGCACGUCUUGACGGUACCUAAUCAGAAAGCCACGGCUAACUACGUG